Molecule: ribosomal RNA, 497 nt
Filed under: uncultured bacterium
Lineage: Bacteria
Description: partial 16S ribosomal RNA
Rfam family: Bacterial small subunit ribosomal RNA
Source: RNAcentral
GAUGAACGCUGGCGGCGUGCCUAAUACAUGCAAUUCGAGCGAACAGACGAGGAGCUUGCUCCUCUGACGUUAGCGGCGGACGGGUGAGUAACACGUGGAUAACCUACCUAUAAGACUGGGAUAACUUCGGGAAACCGUAGCUAAUACCGGAUAAUAUAUUUAACCGCAUGGUUCAAUAGUGUAAGACGGUUUUGCUGUCACUUAUAGAUGGAUCCGCGCCGCAUUAGCUAGUUGGUAAGGUAACGGCUUACCAAGGCCACGAUGCGUAGCCGACCUGAGAGGAUGAUCGGCAACACUGGAACUGAGACACGGUCCAGACUCCUACGGGAGGCAGCAGUAGGGAAUCUUCCGCAAAGGGCGAAAGCUUGACGGAGCAACGCCGCGUGAGUGAUGAAGGUCUUCGGAUCGUAAAACUCUGUUAUUAGGGAAGAACAAAUGUGUAAGUAACUAUGCACGUCUUGACGGUACCUAAUCAGAAAGCCACGGCUAACUACGUG